This 253-nucleotide ribosomal RNA is filed under the name uncultured bacterium. RNAcentral describes it as "partial 16S ribosomal RNA". It matches the Rfam family "Bacterial small subunit ribosomal RNA", at positions 524 to 776 of the family's 1533-position model. The record is from RNAcentral.
UACGGAGGAUCCGAGCGUUAUCCGGAAUUAUUGGGUUUAAAGGGUCCGUAGGCGGGCGGUUAAGUCAGUGGUGAAAGUCUGUAGCUCAACUAUAGAACUGCCUUUGAUACUGACCGUCUUGAGUUAUGGUGAAGUUGCCGGAAUAUGUAGUGUAGCGGUGAAAUGCAUAGAUAUUACAUAGAACACCGAUUGCGAAGGCAGGUGACUAACCAUAUACUGACGCUGAUGGACGAAAGCGUGGGGAGCGAACAGG